GCCCUCGUGGACCAUGGUGGUUGCCUCGAUCACAAAUAUUUGCAAGCAGGAAUAGGGGGUUCGAUUCCCUCCGAGGGCA
Non-coding RNA from Mycena crocata, 79 nucleotides. The record is from the annotation of a GenBank genome assembly. NCBI's taxonomy places the organism in Eukaryota, Fungi, Basidiomycota, Agaricomycetes, Agaricales, Mycenaceae.